UACGUAGGCGGCAAGCGUUGUCCGGAUUUACUGGGCGUAAAGGGAGCGUAGGCGGAUUUUUAAGUGGGAUGUAAAAUACUCGGGCUCAACCUGAGUGCUGCAUUCCAAACUGGAGAUCUAGAGUGCAGGAGGGGAGAGUGGAAUUCCUAGUGUAGCGGUGAAAUGCGUAGAGAUUAGGAAGAGCACCAGUGGCGAAGGCGACUCUCUGGACUGUAACUGACGCUGAGGCUCGAAAGCGUGGGGAGCAAACAGG
Molecule: ribosomal RNA, 253 nt
Filed under: uncultured bacterium
Lineage: Bacteria
Description: partial 16S ribosomal RNA
Rfam family: Bacterial small subunit ribosomal RNA
Source: RNAcentral